GAGUUUGAUCUUGGCUCAGAGCGAACGCUGGCGGCAUGCUUAACACAUGCAAGUCGCACGGUCAGCAAUGGCAGUGGCGGACGGGUGAGUAACACGUAGGAAUCUAUCUCUGGGUGGGGGACAACAGUGGGAAACUACUGCUAAUACCGCAUGAUACCUGAGGGUCAAAGGCGUAAGUCGCCUGGAGAGGAGCCUGCGUCUGAUUAGCUUGUUGGUGGGGUAAAGGCCUACCAAGGCUACGAUCAGUAGCUGGUCUGAGAGGAUGAUCAGCCACAUUGGGACUGAGACACGGCCCAAACUCCUACGGGAGGCAGCAGUGGGGAAUAUUGGACAAUGGGCGAAAGCCUGAUCCAGCAAUGCCGCGUGUGUGAAGAAGGUCUUCGGAUUGUAAAGCACUUUUGGCAGGGACGAUGAUGACGGUACCUGCAGAAUAAGCCCGGCUAACUUCGUGCCAGCCGCCGCAGUAAU
RNAcentral lists this ribosomal RNA (468 nucleotides) under bacterium enrichment culture clone OZDCA61. Its description in RNAcentral is "bacterial SSU rRNA". It matches the Rfam family "Bacterial small subunit ribosomal RNA", at positions 9 to 524 of the family's 1533-position model. The record is from RNAcentral.